Molecule: long non-coding RNA, 803 nt
Organism: Amphimedon queenslandica
Lineage: Eukaryota; Metazoa; Porifera; Demospongiae; Haplosclerida; Niphatidae
Exons: 2
Source: RefSeq, a predicted model, not a curated record
AGAAUGGUCGCUACUAAGCAUCUCCUAAAAGGGAUUUGGUGCAAUAUGAAGCAUAUUCUUUAAUAGAGAUGUUUCCCCAUGGGCGUUAAUUGAGGGGUGGAGCCUCGUGUCGGCCAUCUUGGUUGGCAAAAAGGCCUAUGUGCGCGAGCAAAGCCAUCUGUAUGCAGGCAUAGAUAAUGAUGCAGGUGUGUUUUUAUAACAGCAAUGGUGGUAUCUUGUUGUAUCGUUAACUGUACAAACAGAGUGCAGAAGGGAAAUAAGCAGAGGUUUUAUACCAAAAGUGAUUCAACAUCUAGGAGAACAGACAAAAUAUUUGACAGAAAGAAGGUGAGAUUAGGCUGCCUGUGUGUUCACAGCCUGGCCUUGUGUUAGCUAGCCUUCACUGAGAUAUGUAUUUAUUAUGCAUUAUGGCAUGAUGUAGGCGAGCAAAGUGGCUAUCUAGAAUUAAUCGUAAAGACUGGUAUCCCAGUGACCAUGACAGAGUUUGCUCAGACCAUUUCUUAUCAGGCAAACCAUCAUCAGAUCAUUUAGAUCCAGACAUAGCACAUCUACUCAAAUUCUAUCUACUCUGUAUCUACUUGUAUUUUAAUUUUUUUAACCAGUAUUUACUUGUAUUUACUUUGUAAGUAGAUGUGUAUUUUCAUCUACAGGCUAAAAAUAUGCAAAAAGCAUCACAUGAAAUCUUCCAUUGCAGUUAUUUACUUAUGAUGAAAGCCAUGUGGGCACUGAAAUUUCAUACAAAAGAAUGUUUUCUGUUGAAAAGAAAAAAUGCACAAUGGCUACCUGCCUGAUUAGCACUAAAA